AACGAACGUUGGCGGCGUGGAUUAGGCAUGCAAGUCGAACGAAGACGGGGUAGCAAUAUCCCGGACUGAGUGGCGAAAGGGGCAGUAAUGCGUGGGUAACCUACCUCUGGGAUGGGGAUAGCCUCUCUAACGGGAGGGUAAUACCCGGCGAUGUAACGAGGGGGCAUCUCCUUGUUACCAAAUGAAUUUCGCCCGGAGAGGGGCUCACGUGCUAUUAGCUUGUUGGCGGGGUAACGGCCCACCAAGGCUGAGAUGGCUAGCAGGUGUGAGAGCACGACCUGCGCCACUGGCACUGAGACACUGGCCAGACUCCUACGGGAGGCUGCAGUCGAGGAUCUUUGGCAAUGGGCGCAAGCCUGACCAAGCGACGCCGCGUGCGCGAUGAAGGCCUUCGGGUUGUAAAGCGCUGUCGAGGGGGAGGAAGCCGCAAGGUUGACCUAUCCCUGGAGGAAGGACGGGCUAAGUUCGUGCCAGCAGCCGCAGUAACAC
This 489-nucleotide ribosomal RNA is filed under the name uncultured bacterium. RNAcentral describes it as "bacterial SSU rRNA". It matches the Rfam family "Bacterial small subunit ribosomal RNA", at positions 28 to 526 of the family's 1533-position model. The record is from RNAcentral.